RNAcentral lists this unclassified non-coding RNA (288 nucleotides) under uncultured fungus. Its description in RNAcentral is "partial contains 5.8S rRNA, ITS2 and 28S rRNA". It matches the Rfam family "Eukaryotic large subunit ribosomal RNA", at positions 668 to 960 of the family's 3401-position model. The record is from RNAcentral. Lineage: Eukaryota; Fungi.
AAGGAGUCUAACAUAUCUGCGAGUAUUUGGGUGUCAAACCCGAGUGCGCAAUGAAAGUGAACGUAGGAGCCACGCGCAAGCUGCAGCUUCGACCGAUCUGGAUCUUUAGUGAUGGAUUUGAGUAAGAGCAUAUAUGUUGGGACCCGAAAGAUGGUGAACUAUGCCUGAAUAGGGCGAAGCCAGAGGAAACUCUGGUGGAGGCUCGUAGCGAUUCUGACGUGCAGAUCGAUUGUCGAAGUGGGGUAUAGGGGCGAAAGAGGAAGCGAACCAAGUAGUAGCUGGUGCCUG